Molecule: ribosomal RNA, 130 nt
Filed under: uncultured bacterium
Lineage: Bacteria
Description: partial 16S ribosomal RNA
Source: RNAcentral
AGUUAGCCGCUCCUGCUUCUGCGGGUACCAUCAUUAUUGUCCCCGCUGAAAGACCUUUACGACCCGAGGGCCUUCAUCGGUCACGCGGCGUCGCUGGAUCAGGGUUUCCCCCAUUGUCCAAGAUUCCCCA